RNAcentral lists this ribosomal RNA (481 nucleotides) under uncultured bacterium. RNAcentral describes it as "partial 16S ribosomal RNA". It matches the Rfam family "Bacterial small subunit ribosomal RNA", at positions 30 to 507 of the family's 1533-position model. The record is from RNAcentral.
AUUGAACGCUGGCGGAAUGCUUUACACAUGCAAGUCGAGCGGCAGCACGGGGGCAACCCUGGUGGCGAGCGGCGAACGGGUGAGUAAUACAUCGGAACAUGCCCAGUCGUGGGGGAUAACACUUCGAAAGAAGUGCUAAUACCGCAUACGUCCUGAGGGGGAAAGCGGGGGAUCGCAAGACCUCGCGCGAUUGGAGUGGCCGAUGUCAGAUUAGCUAGUUGGUGGGUAAAGGCCUACCAAGGCAACGAUCUGUAGCUGGUCUGAGGAUGAUCAGCCACACUGGGACUGAGACACGGCCCAGACUCCUACGGGAGGCAGCAGUGGGGAAUUUUGGACAAUGGGGGCAACCCUGAUCCAGCCAUUCCGCGUGAGUGAAGAAGGCCUUCGGGUUGUAAAGCUCUUUCGGCAGGAACGAAACGGUGAGCUCUAACAUAGCUUGCUAAUGACGGUACCUGAAGAAGAAGCACCGGCUAACUACGUG